CCACAGUAUGAGUUAUAAAACCUAGCAGUCAAACGGUUCCAUUCAUUUUUCCCCAUAGGGGAUGUUAGAAACACUUAAGGGCUUUGUUCCCUGUGGGCUUUGUUCCCUGUAGGCUUACCCUGGUGUGACGUUUCGAUAACCCUGGAAAUCUCUCUAGGACAAGGUGACUUUUCAAUGUAUUUGCUUACGUCACACCCUCCAUGAAGAGCUUACCACCGCCCUGCUAGUUUUCUGUUCUACCUGAUAAUUGUACCCACCUGUUGUCCUAGUUCUAAAUCAGUCCCUGAUUAGAGGAACAAUGAAAACAUGCAGUGGAACUAGACUAGUUGACUUCUUCGAUAUCUAAGGGCUAGAUUCAAUCAGAUUGAAAUAGUGUCUUGGUGGAACGCAUUAGAGCUGUCAAAUCCACAAGCAGCUUGUUGCCAUUGAAUGCAAUGAAACCACACCUGACAAAUUCCAUGCAUCAGAAUCUGCAUAAUGAAUACCACCCAGAUGUUUCAGCGGUGUGAGCAGUUGCUCGUGUGUCAAACUACUCCCUUAUUAUCCCUACUGUGUUAAAGUUCAAAACGGCGUUAGAAAUAACGACUCAAAUGUCAAACCAUUGCUGUUAGGGUACGCAUGUUUACUCCAAACGGAAGUUUUCCAAUGGAAAAAAACACUUCUGUUCCGUUUGCAACAGAAUCGAGGUAAUGAAUACGGCCCCAGACAAGUUUCAAGCAGGUGAAAGACCCAACGGACAAAACAAACCUCUCAACAUUUCAUUUAUUGUAAACCCAGUACAACUUCAAAAAUGGAAAAAGAAACCCCAUGUAAUAAAUUAGUGUUCAAUUUACAUUCGACUUCUGAGAAACAUAUAAUUUCAUAGUAUAAACUGGUCUGGAAAAGAUCAAAGCCACUGAGGCAGCCAACUUCAAAGCACUUCAUGUCGCAGGCAUUCAAACGCAGACAUGUCUCGAUUAAAUAGAGGCCUUACAGAAGGACCUUAUUACCCAUGUACUGUCUGAAACAGAUUACAAUUUAGGCUUCUCUAAGUCUGAAGAGUUCCAAGUAAAUCAUACCAUAAUAGUAUACUAGAUACUUUGGACCAGUUACCAACUGACUCAUGGCAUUCCACCACCAGUGGUUACCAACUAGAUUGAAAUGUUAAGUUUACACAAGCUGUGUUUUGACAGACCAAUGACGUAAAUCUGAUUAUCCAUCUCAACGACAACAAUAUAGAAGCCUCCGCAGUAACACUAUCAUUCCCUAUCACCACCUCCAACCGUGGUAAGCACUCGCUGUUCAAGUCACAGAGAUGGCCAAUCCUUUAGGCAAACAUGACAUGGAUCAAUCCCUGAUAAUGUUGAAAUUUGCCAGCAUCCACCUUGACAAUCAACUUAGUCCAUAUGUGACCUAUGCACACCACUAAUGCUCAACACCUUCAUUUUAUCAUCCUAAGGCCCUACCUUAACAGUUACCGAAAUAGCUUCCUCUCCUGGGCCCAGAUUCACUAGACCUUAACUAUAGACUUGAAGAAAGUUGUUAUUCCUCAAAAGGUUAUUGGACAUUUUCUUGCUCUAUUUCUCCUUAAGAAGAAAUUUGGUUCUUAAUUCCAAGUUAGCUAAACUCUUGGCAGUGCGAGAAAAAGCUCAUGAAAGCAGUUUAAUUCACACAAACUUCAUCUGAAAGUUUCAGUAUUGAUCAUUUUAAACCCAAUAACAUGUUUUAGAACAGUAAUCGCAGUAUGAAAUAUGCUAACAUGAUUGCCAUUGUGAGAUAAGUUGCCAAGAAAUGAAGAUUUGUAAGAAGAUAGAGGAAUUGCACUUAAAAUAUCUUGUGAACGUAUUUUUCGUAAGAAGUGUUUUGUGAAUCUGGGCCCUGGCAUUGAAAGAAAGGAGAUGGGCCAUUGCGAUUUAUACUUGCUCAACAUCUAACACCAACAUGUGUGUAAGAAUAAGUGCACUGACAAACUACCCAGCUGAGUGGAUGUGUAAUGCAGAGUUGAGCAAAGUAGCUGGUUGGAGCAGAUGAGCGGGCUGUUUGAGUGACGUGUGUCUGUUAUCUGCGUAUCCAGAGCCAUCCGUUGAGCAGGCAGGCAGAAAGGAACAGGGAGAAGAGCACCAGCUCAGUCUGUCUCCGUUCAGCGUUCUGCUUCUCCAGACCCACCAGACGACGACUCAUCUUCACCACCUGGACACGAGAAAGGCGCUGAUCUGUUAUACUGCACUGUGCUGCUGUGCCUCCCAUGCAGGCCCCAGGGGGAGGGCUGCGCCUUGCUUGGAUGACGUGAACAGUGGAUGGGGGCUCAUGUCCGGGGCAUCUAUUAGCCUACCCCCAGACCAACCAUGUCCCCACCUCUGAGAGACAGCCUGUCUGGGAUGUGCAUGCUGUAAGAAGCGGGACAGUCAGCACACUCCUGCCUCUCCUCUUCCCAUCUCUGUCCCAUGCCUGGCCCCACUCUCAGCCGGUCGGGGACACGCAUCUUCUGGUUGAUGGCCUCAGAGAAGAUGGGGUCACGGCCGCCACGCACCUGGGAAACGUCACCCCGAAACUCCGAAGAAGCCAUGGUAGCACUGGCAGCUGCUGUUUUAAGAUCAAAAUGUGUUACAACUUCUGAAGUCACAGUGCAUCUUUGACAAGCCUAUACUACCCCUGUAAGACUAUACUUGGAUGUAGUUAGCUGAAUAGGCAACAGGAUUAGUCAAAUGUUAGUAGGUUCAUUUUCAUGCAGUGUGGAUUAGCUGGAACUAUCCUGUGUUAUUCUUUGGGUGCUUAAAUCCAGUCCGCCCACAAUGGUCGCCGCCCAACUCCAUCGUAAAUCUUUGAGUUUAAUUGGCUAGGGGCCUGUCAAAUCAUUGCAGAUGGCAGGCAACUCAAUUCAAUUAAUGUGAGAACUGCGUACCUAGGUAGCUAGUUGUCUGAUUAAUCAGGCUGUAUACACAAUGAAUUGGUAUAUACAGCCUUGAAGUAAUGCCUGCAAAUCAUGUACAUUUUCCUUACAAGACAGAAUGUUUAAUUAAAUUACAUUUAAACUUAC
Molecule: long non-coding RNA, 3016 nt
Organism: Salvelinus namaycush (lake trout)
Lineage: Eukaryota; Metazoa; Chordata; Actinopteri; Salmoniformes; Salmonidae
Exons: 3
Source: RefSeq, a predicted model, not a curated record